GCACCAAUGGUUUAGUGGUUAUGAUUCGAUCCUCCCAUUGUGAAGGAUAGAUCGAGACUCGGGUUCGAAUCCCGAUUGGUGCA
This is a transfer RNA of 83 nucleotides. It matches the Rfam family "tRNA". Rfam says of the family: Transfer RNA (tRNA) molecules are approximately 80 nucleotides in length. Their secondary structure includes four short double-helical elements and three loops (D, anti-codon, and T loops). The record is from Rfam.